Molecule: ribosomal RNA, 1411 nt
Filed under: Lactiplantibacillus plantarum
Lineage: Bacteria; Bacillati; Bacillota; Bacilli; Lactobacillales; Lactobacillaceae
Description: bacterial SSU rRNA
Rfam family: Bacterial small subunit ribosomal RNA
Source: RNAcentral
CAGUCGAACGAACUCUGGUAUUGAUUGGUGCUUGCAUCAUGAUUUACAUUUGAGUGAGUGGCGAACUGGUGAGUAACACGUGGGAAACCUGCCCAGAAGCGGGGGAUAACACCUGGAAACAGAUGCUAAUACCGCAUAACAACUUGGACCGCAUGGUCCGAGUUUGAAAGAUGGCUUCGGCUAUCACUUUUGGAUGGUCCCGCGGCGUAUUAGCUAGAUGGUGAGGUAACGGCUCACCAUGGCAAUGAUACGUAGCCGACCUGAGAGGGUAAUCGGCCACAUUGGGACUGAGACACGGCCCAAACUCCUACGGGAGGCAGCAGUAGGGAAUCUUCCACAAUGGACGAAAGUCUGAUGGAGCAACGCCGCGUGAGUGAAGAAGGGUUUCGGCUCGUAAAACUCUGUUGUUAAAGAAGAACAUAUCUGAGAGUAACUGUUCAGGUAUUGACGGUAUUUAACCAGAAAGCCACGGCUAACUACGUGCCAGCAGCCGCGGUAAUACGUAGGUGGCAAGCGUUGUCCGGAUUUAUUGGGCGUAAAGCGAGCGCAGGCGGUUUUUUAAGUCUGAUGUGAAAGCCUUCGGCUCAACCGAAGAAGUGCAUCGGAAACUGGGAAACUUGAGUGCAGAAGAGGACAGUGGAACUCCAUGUGUAGCGGUGAAAUGCGUAGAUAUAUGGAAGAACACCAGUGGCGAAGGCGGCUGUCUGGUCUGUAACUGACGCUGAGGCUCGAAAGUAUGGGUAGCAAACAGGAUUAGAUACCCUGGUAGUCCAUACCGUAAACGAUGAAUGCUAAGUGUUGGAGGGUUUCCGCCCUUCAGUGCUGCAGCUAACGCAUUAAGCAUUCCGCCUGGGGAGUACGGCCGCAAGGCUGAAACUCAAAGGAAUUGACGGGGGCCCGCACAAGCGGUGGAGCAUGUGGUUUAAUUCGAAGCUACGCGAAGAACCUUACCAGGUCUUGACAUACUAUGCAAAUCUAAGAGAUUAGACGUUCCCUUAGGGGACAUGGAUACAGGUGGUGCAUGGUUGUCGUCAGCUCGUGUCGUGAGAUGUUGGGUUAAGUCCCGCAACGAGCGCAACCCUUAUUAUCAGUUGCCAGCAUUAAGUUGGGCACUCUGGUGAGACUGCCGGUGACAAACCGGAGGAAGGUGGGGAUGACGUCAAAUCAUCAUGCCCCUUAUGACCUGGGCUACACACGUGCUACAAUGGAUGGUACAACGAGUUGCGAACUCGCGAGAGUAAGCUAAUCUCUUAAAGCCAUUCUCAGUUCGGAUUGUAGGCUGCAACUCGCCUACAUGAAGUCGGAAUCGCUAGUAAUCGCGGAUCAGCAUGCCGCGGUGAAUACGUUCCCGGGCCUUGUACACACCGCCCGUGACACCAUGAGAGUUUGUAACACCCAAAGUCGGUGGGGU